AUUGAACGCUGGCGGCAUGCCUUACACAUGCAAGUCGAACGGCAGCACGGGAGCAAUCCUGGUGGCGAGUGGCGAACGGGUGAGUAAUGUAUCGGAACGUGCCCAGUCGUGGGGGAUAACGUAGCGAAAGCUACGCUAAUACCGCUUACGAUCUAUGGAUGAAAGCGGGGGAUCGCAAGACCUCGCGCGAUUGGAGCGGCCGAUAUCAGAUUAGGUAGUUGGUGGGGUAAAGGCUCACCAAGCCGACGAUCUGUAGCUGGUCUGAGAGGACGACCAGCCACACUGGGACUGUGACACGGCCCAGACUCCUACGGGAGGCAGCAGUGGGGAAUUUUGGACAAUGGGCGAAAGCCUGAUCCAGCAAUGCCGCGUGCAGGAUGAAGGCCUUCGGGUUGUAAACUGCUUUUGUACGGAACGAAACGGCGAACUCUAAUACAGUUUGCUAAUGACGGUACCGUAAGAAUAAGCACCGGCUAACUACGUGCCAGCCGCCGCGGUAA
Molecule: ribosomal RNA, 500 nt
Filed under: uncultured bacterium
Lineage: Bacteria
Description: partial 16S ribosomal RNA
Rfam family: Bacterial small subunit ribosomal RNA
Source: RNAcentral